GAUGAAGAACGUAGCAAAAUGCGAUAAGUAAUGUGAAUUGCAGAAUUCAGUGAAUCAUCGAGUCUUUGAACGCACAUUGCGCCCCCUGGUAUUCCGGGGGGCAUGCCUGUCCGAGCGUCAUUGCUGCCCUCAAGCACGGCUUGUGUGUUGGGCCUCCGUCCUCCUCCCGGGGGACGGGCCCGAAAGGCAGCGGCGGCACCGCGUCCGGUCCUCGAGCGUAUGGGGCUUCGUCACCCGCUCUUGUAGGCCCGGCCGGCGCUUGCCGACACAUCAAUCUUUUUUCCAGGUUGACCUCGGAUCAGGUAGGGAUACCCGCUGAACUUAAGCAUAUCAAUAAGCGGAGGA
Molecule: unclassified non-coding RNA, 345 nt
Filed under: soil metagenome
Description: partial contains 5.8S ribosomal RNA, internal transcribed spacer 2, and large subunit ribosomal RNA
Rfam family: 5.8S ribosomal RNA (bases 1-120)
Source: RNAcentral